This 260-nucleotide ribosomal RNA is filed under the name Pagrus major (red seabream). RNAcentral describes it as "partial 16S ribosomal RNA". Lineage: Eukaryota; Metazoa; Chordata; Actinopteri; Spariformes; Sparidae. The record is from RNAcentral.
AAGACCCUAUGGAGCUUUAGACGUCAGAGCAGCCCAUGUAAAGCACCCCUUAACAAAGGAAAAAACCAAAUGAAGCCUGCCCUAAUGUCUUUGGUUGGGGCGACCGCGGGGAAAUACAAAACCCCCAUGUGGAGUAGGAAUACACAUUCCUAAACCCAAGAGCUCCCGCUCUAAUGAACAGAAAUUCUGACCAAUAAGAUCCGGCACACGCCGAUCAACGGACCGAGUUACCCUAGGGAUAACAGCGCAAUCCCCUUAAA